This 360-nucleotide transfer RNA is filed under the name uncultured Microcystis sp. RNAcentral describes it as "partial 16S-23S ribosomal RNA intergenic spacer". The stretch from base 134 to 207 matches the Rfam family "tRNA". The record is from RNAcentral. Lineage: Bacteria; Bacillati; Cyanobacteriota; Cyanophyceae; Chroococcales; Microcystaceae.
AAAGGGAGACCUAAUUCAGGUAGGAGACGAAAAAAAAGUAGUCCCUACCAAGAGUCAAUCCCAAAAGGUCGGAACGAGGUAUGAGGCUUUCAAACUAGGUUCUGGGUUCAUAAAAGACCUGAAUCAGGAACAAGGGCUAUUAGCUCAGGUGGUUAGAGCGCACCCCUGAUAAGGGUGAGGUCCCUGGUUCGAGUCCAGGAUGGCCCACCUGCACAGGUGGCAAAAACAAGAGAAGCGAGGAAUCAGCACCUUAUCUUAUAUACAUAUAUAAGAGAGAAUGCUGGCUCUGAGUACAGAGUCCAGAGGAACCUUGAAAACUGCAUAGAGCUAGGUGAAAAAGCCAAAAAAGAAGACCGCAAG